Molecule: long non-coding RNA, 268 nt
Organism: Diachasma alloeum
Lineage: Eukaryota; Metazoa; Arthropoda; Insecta; Hymenoptera; Braconidae
Exons: 3
Source: RefSeq, a predicted model, not a curated record
CGAGACUCAUCAUGCAGAACUUAAACGCCAACCAUCGUACGUUAACCUGGAACAACUGGAUGAAGUGGAGGAGUUUCCUGAUAUUUCCAAGUACAUUGAUUCCUGGGACGUUGAUCCUCCAGAACAAUGGUCAGAUGACAAUGCAAGCCAUGGUCCAGAGAAGACCUCCGAUAAGCCUCAACUGAAGACAUCUGAUAAAUUUCAAGAUAAGACAUCUUAUGAGGCCCAAGCGAAGACGUCCGAUAAGCAUCACGUUACAACCAAAGCU